This 427-nucleotide ribosomal RNA is filed under the name uncultured bacterium. RNAcentral's name for it is "partial 16S ribosomal RNA". It matches the Rfam family "Bacterial small subunit ribosomal RNA", at positions 355 to 774 of the family's 1533-position model. The record is from RNAcentral.
UGGGGAAUAUUGCACAAUGGGCGCAAGCCUGAUGCAGCCAUGCCGCGUGUGUGAAGAAGGCCUUCGGGUUGUAAAGCACUUUCAGCGAGGAGGAAGGGUAGUGUGUUAAUAGCACAUUGCAUUGACGUUACUCGCAGAAGAAGCACCGGCUAACUCCGUGCCAGCAGCCGCGGUAAUACGGAGGGUGCAAGCGUUAAUCGGAAUUACUGGGCGUAAAGCGCACGCAGGCGGUUUGUUAAGUCAGAUGUGAAAUCCCCGCGCUUAACGUGGGAACUGCAUUUGAAACUGGCAAGCUAGAGUCUUGUAGAGGGGGGUAGAAUUCCAGGUGUAGCGGUGAAAUGCGUAGAGAUCUGGAGGAAUACCGGUGGCGAAGGCGACCCCCUGGACAAAGACUGACGCUCAGGUGCGAAAGCGUGGGGAGCAAACA